This 6367-nucleotide long non-coding RNA is filed under the name Manihot esculenta (cassava). RNAcentral describes it as "long non-coding RNA (MESC_LNC006201)". Lineage: Eukaryota; Viridiplantae; Streptophyta; Magnoliopsida; Malpighiales; Euphorbiaceae. The record is from RNAcentral.
ACUAAAACUUGAGUAUCUUUAGGUACAUCGUACCCAACGAACUUUGUGUCUUGUAUUGUGUUUCUUGGAAGGAGCAAAGGAAGUGGGGGAUGUAAUCUAAGUGUUUCCUUCACGACAACUUGCAAAUAUGGUAGUUUCUCUAUGUCACUCUCUUCAACAUUUCUGUUUUCUCCAACAACUUCAAUGAGUUCUUCUUUAACCUUUCUCAUGGCUUCAGGUUGACGAAGUAACUCUGCCAUGGCCCAUUCUAUUACUGUACUCGUAGUCUCUGACCCAGCAAAAAACAUUUCCUUCAACGUCAGACAAAACCAAGAAUAAUUAGUUAAUUAGCCUUUAUUAUUGUGCUUUGCAAAUUAGCAAUUACAAGACAUAAUACAAAAUCUUCAAGUAAUGCAAGUAUAUGCUUACCAAUACGAGUAUGAUGAGCCUUUCAUAUGGGAUCUUCUCAUGCCAAUCUUUGCCAUCACCUUCAAAUUCCAACAAAGUGUCUAAGAAGUCCUUACUAGCUUUCUCCUUAUCCCCAAAUUUGUAUUCCUCAAUCCUUUCUUUCACAAACCCUUCAACAAUCUCCAAAGCUCGUCCCAUAUCUCUCGUCAUGUUUCUCUUUAGUCCUUGUGGAUCUAACCAUUUCAAGAAUGGAAAAAAAUCUGCUAAAUUUGGCUUCCCAGCCCACACUGAAACCAUUCCCAUAGCUUGAAAAAAUUCAUACCCUUCUUUACACUGUGAAUCCACAACGUCUCUCGAGAGCAUAAGGUUACCAACUAUGUUGAAUGACAUUAGGAAGAGAUAGUGAGGUAAAUUCACUACCCCUGACUCUCCCCUUGCAGUUGCAGCUGCUGUAUCAUCUUCAAUACUCCUGAACAUCAAAGCAAUGGUAGUAUCACUAUUUCAAUCUAACUUCAUACAAAAAUACUAUAUCUAUAAACAGGAUUCAAAAGUCAGUGGUUACCUAAUCAUCUGGAGGAUGCACUUCCGCCGAAUGGAAGCUGUAUCAUUGACUCGCUUGACGGUCAUCAUUUCCACCGAGCAAAGACGCCUAAUCAUACGCCAGUAGGGGCUAAACUGGCCAACAGCAAGUGACCCAUCUCUGUAGUUAAGACAGUUAAAUACUUCAAGAGACUUACGGUCACAGAAGCUGGUAUCGUGAUUCUUAAGCAGCUCAGCCGCAGUCUUAGCUGAUUGUAUCACAACUGUAUCCAUGGAUCCUAGUCUGAGCCAGAGAACAGGUCCAUACUUAAACUUAAGCUCCUCUAAAGCUUGGUGUGGUGCAAUUCCUAGAUCAAAAAUAUUGCCCAAGAUUGGCCAACCUGGAGGCCCUGGAGGCAAAUUCUUGGUUCCUUGUCCCAAAAUUUUCCCUCUCCGGCAUACAAUCACAGCCAAAGAUAAGAACAAACUUGCCCAAACAAGGAAACCGCAGAUGAACUCCAUUAUUUCUCUUGAGUUCAAAGACUGCCCGUUCUAGUCGUUGUUCUAUGCUUCUGUUUUAUAUUCUCACGUAGGAAUAUAAUAUUGCAAUUAGUCAUAUUUUUGCGGCCACUGUUCUUACACAUGCUUGUUUGGAGGGUUGAAUAAAAAUCAAAUUGGGUCUGUGGAAUUCAAUUACUGCUUUUUAGAGAAAUUAGUUUUAAAUUUUUAUUUUACUAUUUUUAUUAAAAAAUUUAGAAAUCUUUUGUAUUUUUAUAAACAUUUCUUAAAUAUAAUAUAUAAUCUAUAGAAUUUUUUUCAAAAUAAUUUACAAUAUUAUAUGUUAAAAAAAGAAGAGAAAUUUAUUUUUUUAGAAGCCCAAAUAGGAUACGCUCAAAAUACCAAAUCUAAUUAAACUGAAUUAUAUAUAAUUUGAUUGGAUUCAUUCAAUUAAAUAAAUAUUAUUACUUAAUUUAUUUUUUAAUUAUUUAUAUCGAAUUCAGUUUGAAAGAGUCUUAUUUAAUUUCAAUAUGAUCACUUAUUAAUUAUUAUUUUUCUAAAUAAAUAUUUAAAAUAUCUUUCAUAUUUAACAAAAUUAAAUAUUAAAUAUUUUUUAAAUGGAUAUAAUUAGAGGGGAGUAUUCGGUCGGUUCGGUUCAAAAUCAAAUCGAAUCGAAUAAAUUGAAAAUCAAAAUUUUUAGUAUUUAUGAAAACUGAAUCGAACUGAUUUUGAUCAGAAAUCAAAUCAAAUCGAACCAGUCUGAUUCGAUUCGAUUUGAUUCGGUUUGAUCAGUUUAAAUUUUUAAUAAAUUUUUUAUUUACACUUUAUUUUUAUUUUUAGUAUUUUAAAAUUUAAGUAAAAUAUUUUAAUUUUAAUAUAAUUUAAUCUCUUUAUAUUAUUUAAAAUAAUAUAUUAUUAUCACUAAUCGUUUCGAUUUUUUUAAUUUUGUUAUUAAAUUUGAAUCGAAUUAAAAUAACUAAAAUUUUUAAAAUUAAAUAUUAAAUCAAAUUGAAAUGAAUAAAAAAUCAAAUCAAAUUUUUAAAUUAAUUUGAUUCGUUGAAUUUUUUCGAUUUAAAUCUAAUACUGCUCACCCUUAAAUAUAAUUUAAAAAUUAAUAAAAUAUUAUUUUUUAACAUUAAAAAAAUAAAAUAAAUAAAAAUUAUCAGAUAAAAAAUACUAACUUUAUAUAAAAAUAUCAAUUUUUUAUAUAAUAUAAAAUUAUGCAAUAUCAAAUAUAUAUACAUAUAUGUGGUGGCGGCUUUAGGAUUAAAAAAAUUGGAUAAAAGGCAAAGAUAAUGGAGUCCAUGAGAGCAAAUUGAAUGAUUCUAAACGAUAAGUUUUAAGAUGUUGAUGUUCCUAUUACAUUGACAUAUUGGGGGACCAUCGUCAUAAUCAUGCUUCAUAGUUAGACUUUAAUUUAGAUAUAUUAUGGCUCACACAGUAUUGAACUCGAUAAUAAAUAUAUUUAAAUAAAUUUAAAAAAUUUAAAUUUUUAUUUUUUUAUUUUCAAUUUUCUUUAAAGAAAAAGAAAAUUUUAUUGUAAAAAAAAUAAUUAUUUUAUUUAUUUAUUUCUACAAAAUUAAUUAUUUCUUUUUCUUAUCUCAAAAAAAUACAUUGUUAAUAACUCAAAAAAAAAAUUUUCAAAUUUUCUUUUAUUAAAACUUAUUCUGGUUAACAAUCAUUUUGCAUUCUAUCCAAACACUCCCUUAUAAUGAAGGCCAAGUAAAAGCCAAACCCAUGAUUAAGAAAUCAAAACUCCAAAGACAAUAUCAUACUUCAAUCAAAUACAGACAAAAACACACAUAUAGGCAUCACAAAAGAAGGUGAUGCCUUUUGUUCUGUGCAUUAUUUUGUGGGGAAACUUUUGGCUGCAUCAGAGAGUAUUACACUAAAUUAAUGGGUGAGUCUCAAUUGGCUUAAGCAAUUGAGUCUUAUUAUUAUUAACUUCAUUUUGGGUGUCCUUUCGAAAGGCUAGCCUCACGAGCAGCUGUAAACUUGGCAAUGAGCUUGUCCCUAGGUGGCCAGCUUUCUUGGAUUGUUGGGAUAUUGGAGAAUUCCUGCAUCCAAGAAGUUAACACUGGGAAUUUUUGCUGGUUUAUUAGUUUUACUGUGCUAUUACUGUUGCUUAUUCUUCUUCUCCCAUGGCUGAUUUCAUACCACCAACUACUUAUCAGCUAGGCUAACCCACUCCCUUCUUUAAAACCAAUUCCCUGCACUCCGCUCCUUUAAUUUUUUUAAAAAAAUUACUUUUAAAUUCUUGAAUUUAAAAAAAAAAUAGUCCACAUCUAUUUCAAAAUCACUCACGUCCUUUAUUUUGUAAAAUCAAACCUUUUAAUAUUUUUUAAAAAAAAUCAUUAGUCAAUUUAUUAACUUUAAUUAAAAAGAUUAAAAGGUAUGAAUGUUUAAAAUUAUAAAAACUAAAUAAUAUAUGAUGAUCUGAAAUCCAAUACAAUAGGGUUUUACAAGGGCUUUUGUACUCAAGAAGAACUCUCUCCUCUCUCUAGAGGGGUAUCCCUUUUAUCCUUUUCUUCCUGCCUACUGAUGACGUAUAACGGCUCUCCCCUUAUUGGACCACGCGUCUCUGCCACACAGAUAUGGGCGUACGAGAAAAUCAGGCGCCUGCUCCAUGCGUAACAGCCUCUGAUUCUCCCCCGUGCGUACACUCGAACGGAUCUGCCAGGCUGUAUGACGAGUCUCGUUCUGGAUUCUGGGCCGGGCCGUAAGCUGGGCUGGACGCUGAACCUUGGAGAAGAAGGAAUCCGUGGGGAGGUUGUAUGGGCUGGGCCGAUCUCGAUGAGGGAGAAUCUGGUGGAGUCCGGCCUCAAGGAUCUGGUGGUCCGGGCCUGUUUUACUUGAGAAGGCGUGCGGGCCUUCCUUUCAUGGGCCAUGGCCAUAAUCUAGGCCCAGGAUUGGGGGUAGAGAAAUCCAGCGGUCAUCAAUAUAUAUAAUUAAAAUUAGAUUUAUUGGAUAAAAAAAUUUAAACAUUCACUAUUUUUUAUAUUUAUAUUCUAACCUUAAAAUCUUGUAUAAUAAAAUCAAUUCUUUCAUAUUUAUCUCAAUUUUAGCUAUUUAUGUUAAUCAAUUUUGAUAAAAGAAAUUUAUUACACUCUCAUGCCACAUAAAAUUAUUUCUUAAAAGACUUAUUGAAUAAAAAAAUUCAAAUAUUUAUGUUAAUUUAUAUUUAUAUUCAAAACUUUAAAAUUUAAAUAAUAAAAUUAAAAUUUUUUAAUUUAUCAUAAUUAUAAUAAAAAAAUAAAUUGAAUUUGAAAAUUUUAUGUUAAAUUAUAAUAUAUUUCUUAAAUUUUUAUUUAACUAAUAAAACAGUUCUUAAAAUAUAUAUUUUUAUUUUAAUAAUAAUUUUUUUUAUUAAAUCCAUUAUUUACUUUUCAUUUUCAUUUUUAUACAUGCAUAGUAGUUUAAUAAAAAUUUAAAAUGUUAAAAAAUUAUAAUAUAAAAUAUAUAAUAUUUUAUUUUUAUUUAAUAUUAUUAAUAUAAAGUACAAUUUUUUAUCGGAUCAGAUAAUAAAUUAAUAUACAUCACAAAUUUACUUAUUAUACAGAUAAGAAAAUAAAAAUAUUAAAUAUUUUAAAUAACUUAUAAUAAAUAUAAUUAAUAUAUCUAAAUUUUUAUGAAAAUCAUAAAAGGAAUAAUUUUACAUACUAAAAAAUGUAAUAUUUCAUUUGAAUUAAUAUUAUUAAUAUAAAAUUCAUAUAUUAAAAAUAUAUGCAUAAUUUAUAAUAGUGAAUAUAAAUCUUCAAUAAAUUAUUUUAAUAUAUAAUAUUUACAUGUGAUAUUUUACAUAGUGAAAAUUUAUUUAUAAUAAUUAUUUAUUUAGUAUUACAUAUGAUAAAUAUAAAAUAAAAAUAUACUUUUAAUAUAAAUUUUAAAUUAAAGAACUAUAUAUUUAUUAAUAUAAAAACUUUAAGAACAAUAACUUUUCAAAUUCAAUUUUAUACCUCAAUUAAAAUUAUGAUAAAAGUUUGAUUUUUUUUUCCAAUAACCCUUAGAAUUAUAAAUUAUAUAAUUACCCCAAGACUCUCUCUGGUUGAUAGAGAGAAAGAGAUAUAUAAUCCUAACUUGAAAAUUCUACAAUAAUAUAUAUGAUUUGAGUGACAAGAUAUUAAACUCAAAGCCAGUCGUAGUUAUUUUAAUCCAUACCAUACAUCACACAACCAUAUAGUAUCUAGCUAGAUGUUACAUUCUUUAGCCAGCCAUCACUCCCGAACAUCUCUUGGGUAUCACAUUCAAAGGUAUAAGUUUUCGAACAGAUAUCCCAACCUUUUCUCUCAUAUCUAAAGUCUCAUGGGUUGAAUCCUUAUCAAGUUCCCAAUUAAAACAGUGAAUUAAAGAUGCUAGACCAAGGAGAAUUACUCUUUGAGCAAAUAACAUACCUACACAAAUCCUCCUUCCUGAUCCAAAUGGAAUUAGCUCAAAAUUUUGCCCCUUGUAGUCAAUGUUUAAACCUAGAAACCUCUCAGGCUUGAAGCUCAAGGGAUCUUCCCAAGAAUCUGGAUCUCUUCCUAUUGCCCAUGCAUUCACUAAAACUUGAGUAUCUUUGGGUACAUCGUACCCAACGAACUUUGUGUCUUGUAUUGUGUUUCUUGGCAGGAGCAAAGGAAGUGGGGGAUGUAACCUAAGUGUUUCCUUCACAACAACUUGCAAAUAUGGUAGUUUGUCUAUGUCACUCUCUUCAACAUUUCUGUUUUCUCCAACAACUUCAAUGAGUUCUUCUUUCACCUUUCUCAUGGCUUCAGGUUGACGAAGUAACUCUGCCAUGGCCCAUUCUAUUACUGUACUCGUAGUCUCUGACCCAGCAAAAAACAUUUCCUUCAACGUCAGACAAAACCAAGAAUAAUUAGUUAAUUAGCCUUUAUUAUUGCGCUUUGCAAAUUAGCAAUUACAAGACAUUAUACAAACUCUUCAAGUAAUGCAAGUAUAUGCUUACCAAUACGAGUAUGAUGAG